UGCCCCCCUGGCAAUGUGCAAAGAGACACCGUGUCAUUGUUGUUGUUGCUCUUAUAUCAAUCAGGGGCAGAGAAGGUGUCAGUCCUUUGUUCACACUAGCUUGAUGCCUGGUUUGGUAGAUCAAGCUAUCCUAUGCCUAGGACACACAC
Apodemus sylvaticus (European woodmouse) is the source of this 149-nucleotide small nucleolar RNA. RefSeq annotates it as small nucleolar RNA SNORA48. The transcript has a single exon. The record is from RefSeq and is a predicted model, not a curated record. Lineage: Eukaryota; Metazoa; Chordata; Mammalia; Rodentia; Muridae.